Long non-coding RNA from Anas platyrhynchos (mallard), 1134 nucleotides. RefSeq lists it as uncharacterized. The record is from RefSeq and is a predicted model, not a curated record. NCBI's taxonomy places the organism in Eukaryota, Metazoa, Chordata, Aves, Anseriformes, Anatidae.
GCUAGGCCUAUGCUUGGGCAAUUGUUAUGGGGGAUCCUCUGGCUUCCUUGGAAACAUCCCCAGGUUCCUGCCUUUGCUCAGCCAGUGCUAUGCAGUGAGGAACCACUUUCAGGGGAGGGUGUAGAGUCCUGUGGCUGCAAUCUGGAAAGGUGAGGUGAGCUGUUCAAGGUAAAUCCAGGUGGGUUUCAAGACCCUACACCAGUAUCUCCAUGUUUCCACCCUGCUGGAGAGUCCUGGUGGAUGGGGUGCUGGACCUCUACGCGCAGCUCGCAGAGACCGGCUGGUUUGGGCAGUGUGUGUGGCUGGGCUCCAAGUAAAGACUUCAAGAAUGGAUGGCGCUGCUGGUGAAAAUGAAGAGGAGUGAAGGAGGACUACACUGGAGGCACUGAGAAGGCCGAAGGAUGCUGGGGGAAGACUCCUAAUAAUGUCUACAGGGAAGCUCUUCCCCCAGUGUUUCUACAUAUUCAUGUGAAGUUGGGAUCUUCUUCCAUGAAGACCUACCUCAUCACAUAAUGUGAACACCUAUAGGGAGAGCCACAAGCAAGCAUGAGCACCUCACUGCAGCAUUAGAUUUAGGAGUGUCGGGAAGGAAGAUGUCAGGGCUGGAGGAGAAAGAGGUGUGCAUGUCUCUUGUAUCAGCACCUGUCGGUCAAAUAUUCUCCACUGAGCUGGGAGGUCUGGUUUGGUUAUCACUCUGCCUUGAAGAUGGCUUUUUGAACAGGGAAGGAAGGGUGUGAUCCUGAAACUUGGCUAUUAGGACACUCAUUGGGGAUGGGGGUCAGAUUAAUUUAUCUGUACCAAAAUAACUUCAUCAAAAGAAGCCUGACCAGCAGGUUGAGGGGAGAUGAGUCCCUUCUUCUAUUCUUCUCUUGAGACACUCUCACCCCACCUGGAGCACUGCAUCCAGGUUUGGGGCCCCCAGCACAAGAAAGAAGCAGACCUGUUACAGCAGAUCCAGAAUAGAGCCACUGAAGAUGAUCAGAGGGCUGGAGCGCCUCUCCUACAAAGACAGGCUGAGGGAAGUUGGGGUUGUUCAGCCUGGAGAUGAGAAGGUUCUGGGGAAACCUUAUAGUGGUCUUCUGAUACUUCAAGGGCUUUGUAAGAAGGAUGGGGUGGGAGUUCUUUUAAAAGGGC